AUACGGAGGAUGCAAGCGUUAUCCGGAUUUAUUGGGUUUAAAGGGUGCGUAGGCGGAUUGCUAAGCGGGUGGUGAAAUGCCGGCGCUCAACGUCGGAAGUGCCUCCCGAACUGGUGGACUUGAAUGACUCUGCCGUGGGAGGAAUGUGUAGUGGAGCGGUGAAAUGCUUAGAGAUUACACAGAACACCGAUUGCGAAGGCAUCUCACGAAGGGUUGAUUGAGGCUGAGGCACGAAAGCGUGGGGAUCAAACAGGAUUAGAUACCCUGGUAGUCCACGCAGUAAACGAUGAUGGCUAACCGCUGGUUUUUUCGGAUCAGUGGCCAAGCGAAAGCGAUAAGCCAUCCACCUGGGGAGUACGACCGCAAGGUUGAAACUCAAAUGAAUUGACGGGG
Molecule: ribosomal RNA, 393 nt
Filed under: uncultured bacterium
Lineage: Bacteria
Description: partial 16S ribosomal RNA
Rfam family: Bacterial small subunit ribosomal RNA
Source: RNAcentral